ACCAGGGGCCCUGGCAAGGGUCUCCGGGGCGUGCUCCAGCCAACCAGCCGAGCCGUUCCGUGACUGUACUGCCCACAAGGCGGACUGACGAGGUUGCGACUGGAACGAGUCGUCCCGAGGGACGGGGUAGCGAUUGACGCAUCAGCCAGUCUGACCAGCUUCUCGUUGUUGUAGCGCACACGGCAGCCACGCCGGCUGUGGGCGCAGCAACCGGAACCAGCCAGCCCGGCGGUCGUAUC
This 239-nucleotide non-coding RNA is filed under the name Stutzerimonas stutzeri A1501. Its description in RNAcentral is "Pseudomonas stutzeri A1501 sRNA regulator of biofilms A". It matches the Rfam family "sRNA regulator of biofilms A". Rfam says of the family: Bacterial strain with deleted SrbA had reduced biofilm mass. However, the deletion of srbA had no effect on growth or antibiotic resistance in P. aeruginosa. Lineage: Bacteria; Pseudomonadati; Pseudomonadota; Gammaproteobacteria; Pseudomonadales; Pseudomonadaceae. The record is from Rfam by way of RNAcentral.